This 253-nucleotide ribosomal RNA is filed under the name uncultured bacterium. RNAcentral describes it as "partial 16S ribosomal RNA". It matches the Rfam family "Bacterial small subunit ribosomal RNA", at positions 524 to 776 of the family's 1533-position model. The record is from RNAcentral.
UACGAAGGGGGCUAGCGUUGCUCGGAAUCACUGGGCGUAAAGGGUGCGUAGGCGGGUCUUUAAGUCAGGGGUGAAAUCCUGGAGCUCAACUCCAGAACUGCCUUUGAUACUGAAGAUCUUGAGUUCGGGAGAGGUGAGUGGAACUGCGAGUGUAGAGGUGAAAUUCGUAGAUAUUCGCAAGAACACCAGUGACGAAGGCGGCUCACUGGCCCGAUACUGACGCUGAGACGCGAAAGCGUGGGGAGCAAACAGG